This 424-nucleotide ribosomal RNA is filed under the name uncultured bacterium. Its description in RNAcentral is "bacterial SSU rRNA". It matches the Rfam family "Bacterial small subunit ribosomal RNA", at positions 355 to 776 of the family's 1533-position model. The record is from RNAcentral.
UGAGGAAUAUUGGUCAAUGGGCGGAAGCCUGAACCAGCCAAGUAGCGUGGAGGAUGACGGCCCUAGGGGUUGUAAACUCCUUUUGCGGGAGAAUAACCGGCACCACGUGUGGUGUCCUGCAUGUAUCCCGCGAAUAAGCAUCGGCUAACUCCGUGCCAGCAGCCGCGGUAAUACGGAGGAUGCAGGCGUUAUCCGGAUUUAUUGGGUUUAAAGGGAGCGUAGACGGGAGGUUAAGUCAGUUGUGAAACCCCUCGGCUCAACCGUGGGCGUGCAGUUGAUACUGUCCUUCUUGAGUGUGGCAGAGGCAGGCGGAAUUCGUGGUGUAGCGGUGAAAUGCUUAGAUAUCACGAGGAACCCCGAUUGCGAAGGCAGCCUGCCGGGCCGCGACUGACGUUGAUGCUCGAAAGCGCGGGUAUCAAACAGG